CAAAAAAAAUACAGGGAUUUAAGGACCCAGGCAGAACUAGGAAAGUUCCAUCUACUUGGGUAUACCGCUGGAAGAUAAAGUUGUUCUUGGCAUUGAACUUCAGGUUAUCCUCUUAAGUUUAUUUGGUAAGCAUCAUAUUCUCUUGCCCUAAUGAGCUCAUGGUUAUUUCAACACAUGGCCCUGUAUUGGAAAUGGGGAAGA
Molecule: long non-coding RNA, 201 nt
Filed under: Homo sapiens (human)
Lineage: Eukaryota; Metazoa; Chordata; Mammalia; Primates; Hominidae
Description: HSALNT0087281
Source: RNAcentral